Molecule: ribosomal RNA, 450 nt
Filed under: uncultured bacterium
Lineage: Bacteria
Description: partial 16S ribosomal RNA
Rfam family: Bacterial small subunit ribosomal RNA
Source: RNAcentral
GUGGGGAAUAUUGGACAAUGGGCGAAAGCCUGAUCCAGCCAUGCCGCGUGUGUGAAGAAGGUCUUCGGAUUGUAAAGCACUUUAAGUUGGGAGGAAGGGCAUUAACCUAAUACGUUAGUGUUUUGACGUUACCGACAGAAUAAGCACCGGCUAACUUCGUGCCAGCAGCCGCGGUAAUACGAAGGGUGCAAGCGUUAAUCGGAAUUACUGGGCGUAAAGCGCGCGUAGGUGGUUCGUUAAGUUGGAUGUGAAAGCCCCGGGCUCAAACUGGGAACUGCAUCCAAAACUGGCGAGCUAGAGUACGGUAGAGGGUGGUGGAAUUUCCUGUGUAGCGGUGAAAUGCGUAGAUAUAGGAAGGAACACCAGUGGCGAAGGCGACCACCUGGACUGAUACUGACACUGAGGUGCGAAAGCGUGGGGAGCAAACAGGAUUAGAUACCCUUGUAGUCC